RNAcentral lists this ribosomal RNA (753 nucleotides) under Bacillus anthracis (anthrax bacterium). RNAcentral's name for it is "bacterial SSU rRNA". It matches the Rfam family "Bacterial small subunit ribosomal RNA", at positions 28 to 763 of the family's 1533-position model. The record is from RNAcentral. Lineage: Bacteria; Bacillati; Bacillota; Bacilli; Caryophanales; Bacillaceae.
GCUGGUGGGUGGCGGCGUGCUAUACAUGCAAGUCGAGCGAAUGGAUUAAGAGCUUGCUCUUAUGAAGUUAGCGGCGGACGGGUGAGUAACACGUGGGUAACCUGCCCAUAAGACUGGGAUAACUCCGGGAAACCGGGGCUAAUACCGGAUAACAUUUUGAACCGCAUGGUUCGAAAUUGAAAGGCGGCUUCGGCUGUCACUUAUGGAUGGACCCGCGUCGCAUUAGCUAGUUGGUGAGGUAACGGCUCACCAAGGCAACGAUGCGUAGCCGACCUGAGAGGGUGAUCGGCCACACUGGGACUGAGACACGGCCCAGACUCCUACGGGAGGCAGCAGUAGGGAAUCUUCCGCAAUGGACGAAAGUCUGACGGAGCAACGCCGCGUGAGUGAUGAAGGCUUUCGGGUCGUAAAACUCUGUUGUUAGGGAAGAACAAGUGCUAGUUGAAUAAGCUGGCACCUUGACGGUACCUAACCAGAAAGCCACGGCUAACUACGUGCCAGCAGCCGCGGUAAUACGUAGGUGGCAAGCGUUAUCCGGAAUUAUUGGGCGUAAAGCGCGCGCAGGUGGUUUCUUAAGUCUGAUGUGAAAGCCCACGGCUCAACCGUGGAGGGUCAUUGGAAACUGGGAGACUUGAGUGCAGAAGAGGAAAGUGGAAUUCCAUGUGUAGCGGUGAAAUGCGUAGAGAUAUGGAGGAACACCAGUGGCGAAGGCGACUUUCUGGUCUGUAACUGACACUGAGGCGCGAAAGCGUG